Molecule: ribosomal RNA, 462 nt
Filed under: uncultured bacterium
Lineage: Bacteria
Description: partial 16S ribosomal RNA
Rfam family: Bacterial small subunit ribosomal RNA
Source: RNAcentral
AAUCAACGCUGGCGGCGUGCCUAACACAUGCAAGUCGCACGAGAAAGGGUCUUCGGAUCUGAGUAAAGUGGCGCACGGGUGAGUAACACGUGAAUUAUCUACCUUCGAGGGGGGAAUAACUUCGGGAAACCGAGGCUAAUACCGCCUAAUAUCUACGGAUCAAAGCAGUAAUGCGCUUGAAGAGGAGUUCGCGGCAGAUGAGUUAGUUGGCGGGGUAAUGGCCCACCAAGACGAUGAUCUGUAUCCGGCCUGGGAGGGCGGACGGACACACUGGAACUGAAACACGGUCCAGACUCCUACGGGAGGCAGCAGUGGGGAAUUUUGCGCAAUGGGGAAACCCUGACGCAGCAACGCCGCGUGGAGGAUGAAGUCUCUUGGGACGUAAACUCCUUUCGAUAGGGAGGAUUAUGACGGUACCUAUAGAAGAAGCCCCGGCUAACUUCGUGCCAGCCGCCGCGGUAA